GGGGGUGACAUGGUUUCGACUGUGAGGGUUGAAGUGUCCGGAAGCGAGCCGAGGUACACCGGAGUCCUCGUUAAAAGCCGGUAAACAAAUACGUGCCGAUGAAAACAUGGCACUGGCCGCCUAACUAAGCGGUCUAUCCGCCCGGAGGGUUCCCGUCUCGCCGGUCCCGGGUAACGCAAUACGGGAUGCUGCUCUCAGGGGUCGGGACUGAGGGCUCAAGACUCAUUCCGACUAGGAACGAGGGAAUACUUUGCCGACGGCGGUCCCAUGUUUCCGAAAUGCUCGCUGUUGGCUGCGCUCGGAGAUGCCGGCGCUGAAACCUCAUAGGACGGGGGUUCGACUCCCCCCACCUCCAC
This 356-nucleotide transfer-messenger RNA is filed under the name bacterium BMS3Bbin02. RNAcentral's name for it is "transfer-messenger RNA, SsrA". It matches the Rfam family "transfer-messenger RNA". Rfam says of the family: Bacterial tmRNA, also known as 10Sa RNA or SsrA, is named for its dual tRNA and mRNA-like properties. Its role is to liberate the mRNA from a stalled ribosome. The record is from RNAcentral. RNAcentral also lists the same sequence under 1 other name.